AAAAGGGAGAAAGAAAAUCUUAUUCUGUCUGAAAAUUAAGUUUAGCAAAAUCGAUGCGUGGGUGAGUUCAGAGGUCUGCGUAGGUCAACGUCUGACCCGUGAGUCAUAGGUUCGCCAUCACUGUUUUAUAGGAAACCGACAUAUGAACUGAUCAUCAUACAAAAGUAGUCACCUGAUCCAGCCCCCUACAAAGCAGUGGCUCUUAGAUAUUACUUCAAAAAGACUAAUAGUUACGUCUCUAACCAAAAUGAGAUGAAAGAGGAGUUUGAUUACAUUUAUAAUAUAGGCCGAUUAUAUGGAUAUAGCAAACAUUUCUUAAAGGUGAUUUAUAAUAAAAUACGAACUCUUCAAUGAAUAAAAACGCUAAUGAUGAAGCUAGAGGAGUGGACUAUGAGCCUGUCCCAUAUGCAAUGGAGUGUUAUAAUGUCACAAAGAUGCUGGCCAUGAAAAGUAAGAAAAAUUGGCCUUUAAAAGAUACCUGGCUCUUUAUAGCCAGCUUAGAAAUGAAAAAGAUAGAAUUGAGAAUAAACAGCAUUUGGGAGUAUACAAAAUAUCGGUAAUGAAUAAUGAAGCAUGUAGAAAAGAAGCUUACAUGGGGGUGACAAAUAGGACACUAGAACAAAGGUUGAAAGAGCAUAAAAAAAGAUCUUGCCAAUGGCAAUUUGCGUACAGCUUUGGCAAUAUCUGUGUACGAGAAAGAUAUACAGGUUAAUUGGCAUGAAGCAGAAGUAGUAAGGGACCUGAGAAAAGAGAAGGAUGUGCUCUUAGCUGAAGCUAUGGAGAUUUACAUCAAUAGCAAGAAAGAAAACCUCUUAAAUAGUUAUCCAGCGCAAGAGUUGUCAGCACUGUGGAGGUAUCUCCUGAAUGCGACAGCCUCUUAGCGCUGCCUUUAUUUUGAUGUGGUGGUUGUAUGGCCAGAGCUGUAGUUCGUGAGUUUUAAAUAUUAGAACUUUAAUUUUGAUUUUAAUUUUAAUGUUUUAGUUUUUUGGUUUCAAUUUUAUGGUUGUGUUCUCUAGGACUAAUAAUGAUGGUUUGUGUGUAUUUUUAUUUAUUUUUAGCUUACAUUAUCCUAGUUGUUAUUUUAUUUUAUGUGGUUAC
Molecule: long non-coding RNA, 1098 nt
Filed under: Androctonus crassicauda
Lineage: Eukaryota; Metazoa; Arthropoda; Arachnida; Scorpiones; Buthidae
Source: RNAcentral